GUUUGUUUGGAGAUAUAAAGAAUUUAACCUGCCCCCUGAUUUAUAACAUUAAAGGGCCGCAGUAUUAUAACUGUGCAAAGGUAGCAUAAUCAUUAGGUUUUUAAUUGAAAUCUUGUAUGAAUGGUUGGACGAAAGAAAAGCUCUCUUUAAAUUAAUUUUGAAUUUAACUUUUAAGUGAAAAGGCUUAAAUAUUCUAAAGGGACGAUAAGACCCUAUAAAACUUUAUAUUAUAAUUAUAUUUAAUUAAAUUUAUAAAAUAAAAAUUUAAUUUAAUUAUUUAUUGUGUUGGGGAGACAUAAGUAUAAUAAUAUUUAACUGCUUACAAAAUACACAGUUAUAAUUGAUGAGUUAAAGAUCCUUUUUAAAGAUUUUAAGAUUAAGUUACUUUAGGGAUAACAGCGUAAUUUCUUUUAAGAGUUCUUAUCGAAAAAGUAGGUUGCGACCUCGAUGUUGAAUUAAAAUAUCUAUAUGAUGCAGAAGUUGUAUAAGAAGGUCUGUUCGACCUUUAAAUUUUUACAUGAUUUGAGUUCAAACCGGUGUGAG
RNAcentral lists this ribosomal RNA (543 nucleotides) under Kukrimon cucphuongensis. RNAcentral describes it as "partial 16S rRNA". It matches the Rfam family "Bacterial large subunit ribosomal RNA", at positions 1831 to 2625 of the family's 2925-position model. The record is from RNAcentral. Lineage: Eukaryota; Metazoa; Arthropoda; Malacostraca; Decapoda; Potamidae.